Molecule: long non-coding RNA, 304 nt
Organism: Dermacentor silvarum
Lineage: Eukaryota; Metazoa; Arthropoda; Arachnida; Ixodida; Ixodidae
Exons: 2
Source: RefSeq, a predicted model, not a curated record
UAGCGAGGAUGGCUGCGCGCGCGUUUGAGCGCUCGCGCGCGACGACCCGUCUGUCUUCUUCUUUUUUUUUUUCUUUUUUAAAUGUAACCUGGUUUAUUGGGCUCUCGGCGUAUUCUUGCGUUCCUUCUGCACUGGGACAAGACACCACUGCACUAUUGGACUACGGCAAGCUGGUGCCGCCCGGUGGAGCUUCAUACAGGAACUACUGCCUUACCUGCUGGUGUCACAACGUUGGAUGAACGCACAAAAAGCGCGGAACGAGCUUUUAUAUAGAGCAAAAUAAAUAUUACCUCAUUGCACAAAA